CCAAUGGGUCAGCUGUACGGAUUUCUGGAGCAGAACUUACUUCAGAUGUGGCUGGUGAUGGAGGUCUUCAAAUCCACAGAGGAGAUGUCCCUCCAGGGUCC
This is a long non-coding RNA of Elgaria multicarinata webbii, 101 nucleotides long. RefSeq lists it as uncharacterized. The transcript has 3 exons. Lineage: Eukaryota; Metazoa; Chordata; Lepidosauria; Squamata; Anguidae. The record is from RefSeq and is a predicted model, not a curated record.